Molecule: ribosomal RNA, 520 nt
Filed under: uncultured bacterium
Lineage: Bacteria
Description: bacterial SSU rRNA
Rfam family: Bacterial small subunit ribosomal RNA
Source: RNAcentral
AGAGUUUGAUUCUGGCUCAGGAUGAACGCUAGCUACAGGCUUAACACAUGCAAGUCGAGGGGCAGCAUGAUCGAAGCUUGCUUGAUGAUGGCGACCGGCGCACGGGUGAGUAACGCGUAUCCAACCUUCCCUAUAGUAGAGGAUAGCCCGGCGAAAGUCGGAUUAAUACUCCAUGUUUUCCAAUGCAGACAUCUAAGUUGGAACAAAGGUUCACCGCUAUAGGAUGGGGAUGCGUCUGAUUAGGUAGUCGGCGGGGUAACGGCCCACCGAGCCUACGAUCAGUAGGGGUUCUGAGAGGAAGGUCCCCCACAUUGGAACUGAGACACGGUCCAAACUCCUACGGGAGGCAGCAGUGAGGAAUAUUGGUCAAUGGGCGAGAGCCUGAACCAGCCAAAGUAGCGUGCAGGAUGACGGCCCUAUGGGUUGUAAACUGCUUUUAUACGGGGAUAAAGUGAGGGACGUGUCCCUUUUUGUAGGUACCGUAUGAAUAAGGACCGGCUAAUUCCGUGCCAGCCGCCGC